Molecule: ribosomal RNA, 305 nt
Filed under: uncultured bacterium
Lineage: Bacteria
Description: bacterial SSU rRNA
Rfam family: Bacterial small subunit ribosomal RNA
Source: RNAcentral
GCCUACGGGGGGCAGCAGUAGGGAAUCUUCCACAAUGGGCGAAAGCCUGAUGGAGCAACGCCGCGUGGGUGAAGAAUGUCUUCGGAUCGUAGAACCCUGUUGUUAGAGAAGAAAGUGCGUGAGAGUAACUGUUCACGUUUCGACGGUAUCUAACCAGAAAGCCACGGCUAACUACGUGCCAGCAGCCGCGGUAAUACGUAGGUGGCAAGCGUUAUCCGGAUUUAUUGGGCGUAAAGGGAACGCAGGCGGUCUUUUUAGUCUGAUGUGAAAGCCUUCGGCUUAACCGGAGUAGUGCAUUGGAAACU